Molecule: ribosomal RNA, 865 nt
Filed under: uncultured bacterium
Lineage: Bacteria
Description: bacterial SSU rRNA
Rfam family: Bacterial small subunit ribosomal RNA
Source: RNAcentral
GUCGAACGGAAACGAUACUAGCUUGCUAGUAGGCGUCGAGUGGCGGACGGGUGAGUAACGCGUAGGAAUCUGCCUGAUAGUGGGGGAUAGCCCGAAGAAAUUCGGAUUAAUACCGCAUAAUCUAUUCGUAGUAAAGUGGGGGACUUUCGAGCCUCACGCUAUCAGAUGAGCCUGCGUAAGAUUAGCUUGUUGGUAGGGUAAAAGCCUACCAAGGCGACGAUCUUUAGCUGGUCUGAGAGGAUGAUCAGCCACAUCGGGACUGAGACACGGCCCGAACUCCUACGGGAGGCAGCAGUGGGGAAUAUUGGACAAUGGGGGCAACCCUGAUCCAGCAAUACCGCGUGUGUGAAGAAGGCCUGAGGGUUGUAAAGCACUUUCAAUUGUGAAGAAAAGUUAGCGGUUAAUAACCGUUAGCCUUGACGUUAACUUUAGAAGAAGCACCGGCUAACUCCGUGCCAGCAGCCGCGGUAAUACGGAGGGUGCAAGCGUUAAUCGGAAUUACUGGGCGUAAAGCGUGCGUAGGCGGUUUAUUAAGUCAGAUGUGAAAGCCCCGGGCUUAACCUGGGAACUGCAUUUGAAACUGGUCAACUAGAGUAUGGUAGAGGAAAGUGGAAUUUCUGGUGUAGCGGUGAAAUGCGUAGAUAUCAGAAGGAACAUCAAUGGCGAAGGCAGCUUUCUGGACCAAUACUGACGCUGAGGUACGAAAGCGUGGGUAGCAAACAGGAUUAGAUACCCUGGUAGUCCACGCCGUAAACGAUGAUAACUAGCCGUUGGGGGGAUUUACCCUUUAGUGGCGAAGCUAACGCGUUAAGUUAUCCGCCUGGGGAGUACGGCCGCAAGGUUAAAACUCAAAGGAAUUGACGGG